GACGAGCGAUGAACAGUGCCAGUCACGGACAGAUGCCCACUGCCGUGGAAUUGCCCCAUCCUGUUUUACAGAGAGCAGAAACUGGAAGUUACAGAGAAAGCUGAAAUAACUUGGCCCGAAGUCACUCAGCUAAGAAGUGGCUGUGUCCAAGCUCACAUUCCGGGCUAUGCUGCGUCUCUAGACUGCGGCUUGAAGCUGUAUUUGUAAAGAUGGGGGAUAGAUGCUUGCAUGUGCUCAUAGGAUUCCAAGAAGAUGUGCAGUGGGAGCAUUUACAAACGAGUCUGUCUGUCUUCACCACCAACAUGUAGGCCAGCUUUCUCUGCCCCUCUGAGAAGUCUGCAAAAGGUCACAGCUGCAUGGCUCCAGAAGCUAUUUGUCUUUAAAUCAAGGGACCAGCAAAUACGGAUUAGUGAUCUGACCUCUCCAAUCCCAGUUCCUGGGAGACAAGAAGAGAGGUCAAGAGGGCAUCCUCCAAUCAGCUACAUCCAGGGGACUGGGGACAUGGGACUGCCAGGGUCACACUGGGAAAACAUCAUACAUGCUGUCUCAAGUCAAAUGGUUUGUCCUCCAUGAAGACCCCUGACCAGUCCUAUGGAAGAAGUCUCCUUUCUCCUGUGUUCCCAUAGCAUAUUCUCUGCCCUCUUCUAUCACACUUAUCGCUCUCUCCCUUGUAUUAGUUUUGCUUUUAUAAGCAUCUUCUCCCCCAGCCCAUGUAUCUAUAAGCUUCUUGUUUCUCUUCCUAUAUCUCACAGCUUGGGCCAAAUAAUUGGGUGUGCACUCAAUACAUAUUUGAAGUCACAAUCUUUCCCCAAUAAAUACAUUUUCAAGAAACUCA
RNAcentral lists this long non-coding RNA (835 nucleotides) under Sus scrofa (pig). RNAcentral's name for it is "lncRNA (ENSSSCG00070018807.1)". Lineage: Eukaryota; Metazoa; Chordata; Mammalia; Artiodactyla; Suidae. The record is from RNAcentral.